UUCAGAGGGGGCAAGCGUUAUUCGGAAUUAUUGGGCGUAAAGGGCGCGUAGGCGGCCUGGCAAGUGGAAGGUGAAAUCCCUCGGCUUAACCGAGGAACUGCCCUCCAAACUGCUUGGCUUGAGUCCGGGAGAGGUGAGUGGAAUUCCCAGUGUAGCGGUGAAAUGCGUAGAUAUUGGGAGGAACACCAGUGGCGAAGGCGGCUCACUGGACCGGAACUGACGCUGAGGCACGAAAGCGUGGGGAGCAAACAGG
This 253-nucleotide ribosomal RNA is filed under the name uncultured bacterium. Its description in RNAcentral is "partial 16S ribosomal RNA". It matches the Rfam family "Bacterial small subunit ribosomal RNA", at positions 524 to 776 of the family's 1533-position model. The record is from RNAcentral.